Molecule: ribosomal RNA, 491 nt
Filed under: uncultured bacterium
Lineage: Bacteria
Description: partial 16S ribosomal RNA
Rfam family: Bacterial small subunit ribosomal RNA
Source: RNAcentral
GAUGAACGCUAGCUACAGGCUUAACACAUGCAAGUCGAGGGGAAACGGCAUUGAGUGCUUGCACUCUUUGGACGUCGACCGGCGCACGGGUGAGUAACGCGUAUCCAACCUUCCCAUUACUGUGGGAUAACCUGCCGAAAGGCAGACUAAUACCGCAUAGUCUUCGAUGACGGCAUCAGAUUUGAAGUAAAGAUUUAUCGGUAAUGGAUGGGGAUGCGUCUGAUUAGCUUGUUGGCGGGGUAACGGCCCACCAAGGCGACGAUCAGUAGGGGUUCUGAGAGGAAGGUCCCCCACAUUGGAACUGAGACACGGUCCAAACUCCUACGGGAGGCAGCAGUGAGGAAUAUUGGUCAAUGGACGGAAGUCUGAACCAGCCAAGUAGCGUGCAGGAUGACGGCCCUAUGGGUUGUAAACUGCUUUUGUAUGGGGAUAAAGUUAGGGACGUGUCCCUAUUUGCAGGUACCAUACGAAUAAGGACCGGCUAAUUCCGU